AGCCCAGAGCCUGAAUCAGUGUGUGUGUUAGUGGAAGCGUCUGGAAAGGCGCGCGAUACAGGGUGACAGCCCCGUACACAAAAAUGCACAUGCUGUGAGCUCGAUGAGUAGGGCGGGACACGUGGUAUCCUGUCUGAAUAUGGGGGGACCAUCCUCCAAGGCUAAAUACUCCUGACUGACCGAUAGUGAACCAGUACCGUGAGGGAAAGGCGAAAAGAACCCCGGCGAGGGGAGUGAAAAAGAACCUGAAACCGUGUACGUACAAGCAGUGGGAGCACAGAGCAAUCUGUGUGACUGCGUACCUUUUGUAUAAUGGGUCAGCGACUUAUAUUCUGUAGCAAGGUUAACCGAAUAGGGGAGCCGAAGGGAAACCGAGUCUUAACUGGGCGUUAAGUUGCAGGGUAUAGACCCGAAACCCGGUGAUCUAGCCAUGGGCAGGUUGAAGGUUGGGUAACACUAACUGGAGGACCGAACCGACUAAUGUUGAAAAAUUAGCGGAUGACUUGUGGCUGGGGGUGAAAGGCCAAUCAAACCGGGAGAUAGCUGGUUCUCCCCGAAAGCUAUUUAGGUAGCGCCUCGUGAAUUCAUCUCCGGGGGUAGAGCACUGUUUCGGCAAGGGGGUCAUCCCGACUUACCAACCCGAUGCAAACUGCGAAUACCGGAGAAUGUUAUCACGGGAGACACACGGCGGGUGCUAACGUCCGUCGUGAAGAGGGAAACAACCCAGACCGCCAGCUAAGGUCCCAAAGUCAUGGUUAAGUGGGAAACGAUGUGGGAAGGCCCAGACAGCCAGGAUGUUGGCUUAGAAGCAGCCAUCAUUUAAAGAAAGCGUAAUAGCUCACUGGUCGAGUCGGCCUGCGCGGAAGAUGUAACGGGGCUAAACCAUGCACCGAAGCUGCGGCAGCGACACUGUGUGUUGUUGGGUAGGGGAGCGUUCUGUAAGCCUGUGAAGGUGUGCUGUGAGGCAUGCUGGAGGUAUCAGAAGUGCGAAUGCUGACAUAAGUAACGAUAAAGCGGGUGAAAAGCCCGCUCGCCGGAAGACCAAGGGUUCCUGUCCAACGUUAAUCGGGGCAGGGUGAGUCGACCCCUAAGGCGAGGCCGAAAGGCGUAGUCGAUGGGAAACAGGUUAAUAUUCCUGUACUUGGUGUUACUGCGAAGGGGGGACGGAGAAGGCUAUGUUGGCCGGGCGACGGUUGUCCCGGUUUAAGCGUGUAGGCUGGUUUUCCAGGCAAAUCCGGAAAAUCAAGGCUGAGGCGUGAUGACGAGGCACUACGGUGCUGAAGCAACAAAUGCCCUGCUUCCAGGAAAAGCCUCUAAGCAUCAGGUAACAUCAAAUCGUACCCCAAACCGACACAGGUGGUCAGGUAGAGAAUACCAAGGCGCUUGAGAGAACUCGGGUGAAGGAACUAGGCAAAAUGGUGCCGUAACUUCGGGAGAAGGCACGCUGAUAUGUAGGUGAAGUCCCUCGCGGAUGGAGCUGAAAUCAGUCGAAGAUACCAGCUGGCUGCAACUGUUUAUUAAAAACACAGCACUGUGCAAACACGAAAGUGGACGUAUACGGUGUGACGCCUGCCCGGUGCCGGAAGGUUAAUUGAUGGGGUCAGCGCAAGCGAAGCUCUUGAUCGAAGCCCCGGUAAACGGCGGCCGUAACUAUAACGGUCCUAAGGUAGCGAAAUUCCUUGUCGGGUAAGUUCCGACCUGCACGAAUGGCGUAAUGAUGGCCAGGCUGUCUCCACCCGAGACUCAGUGAAAUUGAACUCGCUGUGAAGAUGCAGUGUACCCGCGGCAAGACGGAAAGACCCCGUGAACCUUUACUAUAGCUUGACACUGAACAUUGAGCCUUGAUGUGUAGGAUAGGUGGGAGGCUUUGAAGUGUGGACGCCAGUCUGCAUGGAGCCGACCUUGAAAUACCACCCUUUAAUGUUUGAUGUUCUAACGUGGACCCGUGAUCCGGGUUGCGGACAGUGUCUGGUGGGUAGUUUGACUGGGGCGGUCUCCUCCUAAAGAGUAACGGAGGAGCACGAAGGUUGGCUAAUCCUGGUCGGACAUCAGGAGGUUAGUGCAAUGGCAUAAGCCAGCUUGACUGCGAGCGUGACGGCGCGAGCAGGUGCGAAAGCAGGUCAUAGUGAUCCGGUGGUUCUGAAUGGAAGGGCCAUCGCUCAACGGAUAAAAGGUACUCCGGGGAUAACAGGCUGAUACCGCCCAAGAGUUCAUAUCGACGGCGGUGUUUGGCACCUCGAUGUCGGCUCAUCACAUCCUGGGGCUGAAGUAGGUCCCAAGGGUAUGGCUGUUCGCCAUUUAAAGUGGUACGCGAGCUGGGUUUAGAACGUCGUGAGACAGUUCGGUCCCUA
Molecule: ribosomal RNA, 2351 nt
Filed under: Escherichia coli
Lineage: Bacteria; Pseudomonadati; Pseudomonadota; Gammaproteobacteria; Enterobacterales; Enterobacteriaceae
Description: partial 23S ribosomal RNA
Rfam family: Bacterial large subunit ribosomal RNA
Source: RNAcentral